CGGUACCAUAGGAGGAAGUCACGACUAACUACGUGCCAGCAGUCGCGGUAAUACGUAGGUGGCAAGCGUUAUCCGGAAUUAUUGGGUGUAAAGGGUGCGUAGGCGGGAUGUAAAGUCAGAUGUGAAAUGCCGCAGCUUAACUGCGGAGCUGCAUUUGAAACUUGUGUUCUUGAGUGAAGUAGAGGCAAGCGGAAUUCCUAGUGUAGCGGUGGAAUGCGUAGAUAUUAGGAGGAACACCGGUGGCGAAGGCGGCUUGCUGGGCUUUUACUGACGCUGAGGCACGAAAGUGUGGGGAGCAAACAGGAUUAGAUACCCUGGUAGUCCACACCGUAAACGAUGAUUACUAGGUGUAGGUCGGCUGAACCGAUCUGUGCCGGAGUUAACACAAUAAGUAAUCCACCUGGGGAGUACGGCCGCAAGGUUGAAACUCAAAGGAAUUGACGGGGGCCCGCACAAGCAGUGGAGUAUGUGGUUUAAUUCGACGCAACGCGAAAAACCUUACCAGGUCUUGAC
This 513-nucleotide ribosomal RNA is filed under the name uncultured bacterium. Its description in RNAcentral is "bacterial SSU rRNA". It matches the Rfam family "Bacterial small subunit ribosomal RNA", at positions 473 to 985 of the family's 1533-position model. The record is from RNAcentral.